ACCUAAAGUUCCUUCUGGUGUGAUCACAUUGGAAUACUUGUGGCAACAAAUCAUAGUUGCACCAUAUUUUAGGUGGCUCUAGGGUGUAGUGUCGUAAAAUCAAUUUACUUUGUAUGCAAAUCAGAAUGUAUAGUUUGCCUUUCCG
Non-coding RNA from Aegilops tauschii subsp. strangulata, 145 nucleotides. The record is from RefSeq and is a predicted model, not a curated record. NCBI's taxonomy places the organism in Eukaryota, Viridiplantae, Streptophyta, Magnoliopsida, Poales, Poaceae.